RNAcentral lists this ribosomal RNA (362 nucleotides) under uncultured bacterium. RNAcentral's name for it is "bacterial SSU rRNA". It matches the Rfam family "Bacterial small subunit ribosomal RNA", at positions 28 to 390 of the family's 1533-position model. The record is from RNAcentral.
GAUGAACGCUAGCGGCAGGCUUAAUACAUGCAAGUCGAGGGGCAGCGGGGUAGCAAUACCGCCGGCGACCGGCAAACGGGUGCGGAACACGUACAGAACCUCCCUCCAAGUGGUGAAUAGCCUUCCGAAAGGAAGAUUAAUACACCGUAAUAUUAGAGAGUGGCAUCACUUUCUAAUUAUAGAUUUAUCGCUUAGAGAUGGCUGUGCGGCUGAUUAGGUAGUUGGCGGGGAAUAGCCCACCAAGCCUGCGAUCAGUAACUGGUGUGAGAGCACGACCAGUCACACGGGCACUGAGACACGGGCCCGACUCCUACGGGAGGCAGCAGUAAGGAAUAUUGGGCAAUGGACGAGAGUCUGACCCA